Molecule: long non-coding RNA, 1185 nt
Filed under: Salvia miltiorrhiza (redroot sage)
Lineage: Eukaryota; Viridiplantae; Streptophyta; Magnoliopsida; Lamiales; Lamiaceae
Description: long non-coding RNA (SMIL_LNC010470)
Source: RNAcentral
UACUCUCCAUCUUCUCACCUCAUCACACACAGAGAGACUAUGGCUCCCAAAUCCUCCUUUCUCUCUCAUCAGCCCUCCAAAGACGAAGACGAGAGAGAGGAAUCAUCCUCCGGCGAAGAAGAAGAAAAAGAAGACGAAUCAGAGCCGCAAUCUUCCUCCGACGACGAAACGGAGGCGGGCUCCUCCUCCGAGGAAGCCCCAAAUCGACGAACCCUAGAAAGUCUCAAUUCCCCAAUAUCAGCUCCCAAAUCGGCCUCGCGAGGUAAUAGAUUGGAUUCCGACGCCGAUUCCGACGGCUCCCCUUCCAAUUACAUGCUACAGCCGAUCCGCAAGGGCUCCGUCUCCUCAUCGAAGCGCAGCCGUGAUGAGAUUCAGGAGGAUUUGUUGAGGAGCUAUAAGAGCUCGAGAAUUGAGGAGAAGAAAUCUCCUUCCACUCCGGCGGGAGGUGGUGGGGGUGGGGGUGGGGGUGGGGGUGGGCUGGGGUGUAUCAAUAGGCUGUGGAGUAACGAGGAUGAGAUCGCCGUGCUAAAUGGGAUGAUUGAAUUCAAAACCGCCAAGGGUUUCGACCCGAACGCGGAUAUGGGGGCGUUUCACAGCUUCAUCAAGGGGAAAUUGAAGGUGGAUUUCUCGAGGGAUCAGCUGAGGACUAAGAUUACAAGGAUGAAGAAGAGGUUCUUGAAUGCUUUGAAGAAGGGCGCGGACCCUGUCUUCUCGAAGCCUCACGAGGAUACGGCAUUCGUGCUCUCGAAGAGGAUUUGGGGGAAAAGUGAGAAUGCGAAGAAGAAGGUGGAGAAGGAUGUGGUGGAUGAGAGAGAGGCUGUGGAGAGAGAAAGGGAUGGCGAAGGAGAGGACUUUUGGUCCAAGUACCCGAACAUUAAUGCGUCCUUUGAUACUAUGAAGGCGAACUUCCCCUCCCUCGUUGCUCCCGUGGCUGGGAUGAGUUUGUUGAGGGAGAGGUUGAGUUUGAUCGGGAAUGUGAAGGCCAAGGCAUUGGAUAAUAAGUGGAAGCAGUUGCUUGUGGAGGAGAGUGAGCUGAGUUACAAGAUUUUGAUGUUGAUGAAGGAACAGGUUGAAAUGGCUUUGGAUCAAUGAUAGGGUUGACAAUUGCUAAGUUGGUAUUUUUGUGCUUUAUUUUAUACUCCCCUUUUAAAGUUAAUUGUGAUUCUUUGUUUUCAUUAGGAUAAU